Molecule: ribosomal RNA, 447 nt
Filed under: uncultured bacterium
Lineage: Bacteria
Description: bacterial SSU rRNA
Rfam family: Bacterial small subunit ribosomal RNA
Source: RNAcentral
UCGGGAAUUUUGGGCAAUGGGGGAAACCCUGACCCAGCAACGCCGCGUGAAGGAUGAAGUAUUUCGGUAUGUAAACUUCGUAAGAAUAGGAAGAAUAAAUGACGGUACUAUUUGUAAGGUCCGGCUAACUACGUGCCAGCAGCCGCGGUAAUACGUAGGGACCAAGCGUUGUUCGGAUUUACUGGGCGUAAAGGGUGUCGAGGCGGUUGUAUUAGUCGUUCGUAAAAUCUACGAGCUUAACUUGUAGGCGGCGAACGAAACGGUACGACUUGAGGUUUGGAGAGGUGCGUGGAACUCACGGUGUAGGGGUGAAAUCCGUUGAUAUCGUGGGGAACACCAAAGGCGAAGGCAGCGCACUGGCCAAAAUCUGACGCUCACACACGAAAGCUAGGGUAGCGAAGAGGAUUAGAUACCCUCGUAGUCCCUGAGCGGGCUGGCAAGGCGCAU